Meleagris gallopavo (turkey) is the source of this 407-nucleotide non-coding RNA. The record is from RefSeq and is a predicted model, not a curated record. Lineage: Eukaryota; Metazoa; Chordata; Aves; Galliformes; Phasianidae.
GCGGCUCAGCCUGUGGGCGACGGGACGGUUCUCACGGCGCCGAGGAGAAGAGCUGCAGAUGGAGCCCAGCAACCGUCCGUCUGCUGCCAGGAAGCACGGAAUGGUCUCACACCUUUGCACCCUCCCCUGCCCACCUUCUGGGGUGCUGCGAAGUACCUGGAUAUUCAGUGCCGUGCUGCCACUAGCUCUGAUAUCCACGCUGUGCGCUGCAGUGCAGUAUGGAAUGACGGUGGCCAACACAAAGCACCUUCAGUAAAGUACAAUUUAUUAAUCACCAAAGAUCUGGGGGAAGUACCUUUCAAACAGGAGUGUUUGCACGUAGCUCUCCUCUGGGAGAAGCCCGUUUUCUGCAGACUCUUACACCGUUCCUGUCACAGUCUGUACACCAGCAGCCGUCUCGUUUCUCU